Molecule: long non-coding RNA, 2539 nt
Filed under: Homo sapiens (human)
Lineage: Eukaryota; Metazoa; Chordata; Mammalia; Primates; Hominidae
Description: long independently transcribed non-coding RNA 1488, transcript variant 13 (LINC01488)
Source: RNAcentral
CUGCAGAGGUGCCUUUUGUCUGGCAAGGGGAGCACAGGUGGGGGAUGGGGCUGGCCCCAGCCAGGACAUUGUCUGUGUCACUCAGCAGCAGACUGACUGGCGCCUGCUGCCUGGCCAGCAAUGCUGACCCCUCUGCCUGCCCUAGCCAAUAUUUGAGGUCAGGAGGCAAGUACAGCAUCUGUGGGCAGACGACAGGGCCAAUGGGGUUCUCCUCCAGGCCUUCUGCUGCCACUCUGCUUCCUGAAGCCAGGAGGCCCAGUUCAGGUGCUCCGCCAGGGCUCCCGUGGUCCUGCCUGCAGGGGCGAGGUAGCAGGACCCCCUUGUUUAGCCUCUGCUGCAUCCUUAGCUGCAGCAGGGAGCCUGCCAGGCAGGUGUGCGACAGGCAGGACAGCGAUGUCUUCCUGCAUGACAGAAGGGGAAACUGAGGCCCAGAGUGAUGCAGCCCGGGACCUCCCAGGACAAGGUCCAAGCUCUUACCUCAGAUACAAACUCAUCUGGAAGCAUUAAAACAAUGGAAGCAGGUGAGAGCAGAGAGAUCCCGAGCGCAGGUGAGGUGGGGUCCCUGAGGCGGGCUCAAAAGCUGCUUCCCAAGGCAGGGGGGCCCCUAUGUGCCCUCUGAGAGCACAGCCUGCAGACAGAGUCCAGACGUCUCAGGCAGGCCUUUGAGGCCUUCGUGUCAAAGCCCAGUUCUACCACAUCCUAGGGUUAUACUUUCGGCCUGGUGGGAGUCGCUGGUCCCCAGUUGACAGUGUCAUUGGGAAAGUCCAGUGGUAGACCCCGGCACAGCAGGCGCUCAGCAGUGCAGCAGUAUCAUUGCUUAGCCCCACCUCCCUUUCCAGACUCUGCACCCCUCCUCAGGCUCAGAGCAAGGGCCUGCCCCUGCCCCUCCACCGCCCCCUCCUCACUUACCCCUGCGACUCUGCCCAAGCAAGACCUCCCCCUGGAAUUCAUUCAUUUAUCAACUCAUUAUGCAGCCAGCCAGCCAUCGUUUCUUUUUUAUCCACUUUUUCUGAGGGCCUGCUGUGCGCCAGCUGCUGGAGACAUGAAGACAUCGAAGACCCCAGGCCUUGACCUCCAAGAGCCCCCAGUUUGGUGGAAGAAACAAACAAGGAGACUGCAAAACACACCCUGUGAUGGGGAGGGUUGAGGUGGCCAGUGGGAGAGGCGAGCUGGCAGGGCUCAGUGGUGAGGUGAAGGUGUGGGAGCAGGGACACAGCAUGAAGGAGUAGAUGGCCAGGUUGAGCUUUGCAGGCUCCAGGGGGAGGAUAAAGAGCUGACACCUGGAACGUGCUUGGAACAGCAGGUGCUCGGUCAGUGCAGCCACGACCAUCCCGUCCUGCAUCCCCACCAUGAACUUGGACCUUCUGGAAGGACCUUGCUUAUCCCAGCAUCCACACAUCCUUGACCAGACCUGGUCAACAUUUGCUUAGAACCGCCUGGCUGCUGGGAUGAGAAGAGACUGGAGAGAGACCACGAUGGAAGCCAGGAGGCCAACGAGGAGUUGGGGUAGUCCUCCAGGGAGACAUGAUGUGGCUUCAGCCCCAGUGGUGAUGGCGGGGUAGAGCCAGCAGGGUUCUGAACUGAGUGGAUGUGAAAUGAGGGAAAGAGGGAUGCUGCGGUCGGCAGAAUCGUGCCUCCCGCAAAGAUGCCCCAUCCUAACCCGUCACCCUUGACAGUGAGACCUCCACCACAAAGGGGACUUUGCAGGCAUGAAGGUUAAGGACCCUGAGAGGAGGAGAUGGCCCUGGACUGUCUGGCGGGCCCAGCAUCAUCACAAGGGUGCUUAUAAGUGGAGGAGGAGGCAGGGGGAGCCGAGCAGAUGUGAGGAUAGAAGCAGAGGUCGGAGGGACGUGCUGUUGGCUUGAGAUGGAGGAGGACCUAUGAGCCAAGGAGCAUGGGCGGCCUCUGGAAGCCAGAAAGGGCAAGGCCUCUUCCCGGAGCCUCCAGCAGAACCCAGCCCCGCUGCCACCUCGACUGCAGAACGGUGACACCGUGUCCGAUUCCCGACCUCCAGAACCGUGAGAUAACACGUGUGCUGUUUUAAGCCACUGCAAUUGUGGUAUUUGUCACAGCAGCCAUAGGAAACUGUACGGGGGUUAAAGAGGACCUGCUGACCUCUGAGCUCACACUGAAGCCUCCUGGAAUGCUGUGGGUUGUGAGCUGGGAUGAGAACGCAGCAUGGAGAUGAAAGACGCAUCCACCCAGGAAGGCCCACUGGCAUCGCAAUCUCAGGGAAGAUUCCCAGGCUGAAAAAAGAGAAAGUGGCUGGGGUGGCACUGAAUGCCCCACGUCAAAGAAAUGGCACCCAAGCCGUCCGUCAGUCCCUCACCUGCCACACAGACAGCACCUUGGACCCAGCAAGAUGUCACUCACCACAUUGAUGCUGUCCACAGGCAUCGCCUUGCUUUUGCAGCUCUGUGUGAGAUUUGUCAGCUUGGUUUGGGUCUGGGGCUGUAUUAGAGCUGUCAGCCUAGGAGCCUACCCUAGUUUUGUGUCUGCACUAUUUCCAAAGCACUGGAAUAAAAGGCAUUUUAACCAA